Molecule: ribosomal RNA, 378 nt
Filed under: uncultured Planctomycetota bacterium
Lineage: Bacteria; Pseudomonadati; Planctomycetota
Description: bacterial SSU rRNA
Rfam family: Bacterial small subunit ribosomal RNA
Source: RNAcentral
UAAUACGUAUGGUGCGAACGUUAUUCGGAAUUACUGGGCAUAAAGGGCGCGUAGGCGGUUUGGUAAGUCUGUAUGUGAAAUCCCUCGGCUUAACCGAGGAACUGCAUCGGAUACUGCCAGACUAGAGUGCAGGAGGGGAGAGCGGAAUUCCUGGUGGAGCGGUGAAAUGCGUAGAUAUCAGGAGGAACGCCAGUGGCGAAAGCGGCUCUCUGGCCUGCAACUGACGCUGAGGCGCGAAAGCUAGGGGGGCGAACGGGAUUAGAUACCCCGGUAGUCCUAGCCCUAAACGAUGGGUACUAGGUAGAGGAGGUUCUAUAGCUUUCUCUGCUGUAGCUAAUGUAUUAAGUACCCCGCCUGGGGAGUAUGGUCGCAAGGCUA